CCGUCCGGGAGUAACUAGCCGAAAGGUUAGCUAAUACCAGAUACGCUCAUCGUGCGGCAUCGCACAAUGAUGAAAGCAGCAAUGCGCGGAUUGAGGAGGCUGCGGCCCAUUAGCUAGUUGGUGAGGUAACGGCCCACCAAGGCGACGAUGGGUAGCUGGUCUGAGAGGACGACCAGCCACACUGGGACUGAGACACGGCCCAG
Molecule: ribosomal RNA, 203 nt
Filed under: uncultured bacterium
Lineage: Bacteria
Description: partial 16S ribosomal RNA
Rfam family: Bacterial small subunit ribosomal RNA
Source: RNAcentral